RNAcentral lists this transfer RNA (74 nucleotides) under Bacteroidaceae bacterium. RNAcentral's name for it is "tRNA-Arg". It matches the Rfam family "tRNA". From Rfam's summary of the family: Transfer RNA (tRNA) molecules are approximately 80 nucleotides in length. Their secondary structure includes four short double-helical elements and three loops (D, anti-codon, and T loops). Further hydrogen bonds mediate the characteristic L-shaped molecular structure. tRNAs have two regions of fundamental functional importance: the anti-codon, which is responsible for specific mRNA codon recognition, and the 3' end, to which the tRNAs corresponding amino acid is attached (by aminoacyl-tRNA synthetases). tRNAs cope with the degeneracy of the genetic code in two manners: having more than one tRNA (with a specific anti-codon) for a particular amino acid; and 'wobble' base-pairing, i.e. permitting non-standard base-pairing at the 3rd anti-codon position. Lineage: Bacteria; Pseudomonadati; Bacteroidota; Bacteroidia; Bacteroidales; Bacteroidaceae. The record is from RNAcentral.
GGCUCGGUAUCUCAGCUGAAUAGAGCGUCAGAUUCCGGUUCUGCAGGUCAUGGGUUUGAAUCCCAUCCGAGUCA